RNAcentral lists this long non-coding RNA (273 nucleotides) under Phasianus colchicus (ring-necked pheasant). RNAcentral describes it as "lncRNA (ENSPCLG00000020230.1)". The record is from RNAcentral. Lineage: Eukaryota; Metazoa; Chordata; Aves; Galliformes; Phasianidae.
GAGAUUUUGGGGUUCUGAGGGGGGAAUUGGGUGAGAAAAGAGGCAAUUUUGGGGUCAGAAAAGGGCAAUUUGGGGUCAGAAAUGGAGAAUUUGGGGUGAGAAAAGGAGAUUUUUGGGUUCUGAGGUGGGAACUGGUUGAGAAAAGCAGCAAUUUGGGGUCAGAGAAGUGUGGAUUUCGGUGGGAUGCUGGGUGAGCAGGGCGGAUUUUAGGGCCAAACGGGGCAAUUUGGGGUGACCCCCCCCCUCAUUUUCUGUGUCCCCCCCCUCCCAUAG